This 2448-nucleotide ribosomal RNA is filed under the name Planctomycetota bacterium. RNAcentral describes it as "partial 23S ribosomal RNA". It matches the Rfam family "Bacterial large subunit ribosomal RNA", at positions 1 to 2035 of the family's 2925-position model. The record is from RNAcentral. Lineage: Bacteria; Pseudomonadati; Planctomycetota.
AUAUGGUCAAGUUACCAAGGGUGUAUGGGGGAUGUCUAGGCGUCGAGAGGCGAAGAAGGACGUGGCAGGCUGCGAUAAGCCCGGGGCAGGAGUCAAGCAUCCGCUAAUCCCGGGAUUUCCGAAUGGGGCAACCCGGCAGGGCUGGGCAACCAGACCCUGUCAUCCAUGGUUGAAUGCAUAGGCCAUGUGAAGUCAACGCAGGGAACUGAAACAUCUAAGUACCUGCAGGAAAGGAAAUCAACCGAGACUCCGUUAGUAGCGGCGAGCGAAAGCGGAAAAGCCCAAACCCAGCAUCUACUUUGCUGAGCAAAAUAAAAAUCCGAAAUUAGAAUUUCCCUACUUUGUUCACCAAAGUAGGUGCUGGGGGUUGUGGGCGCCGGCAAGGAGUUACAAAGGCAUCGCCAGCAGAAUCCUCUGGAAAGUGGAACCAUAGAAGGUGAAAGUCCUGUAUGCAAAAGCGAAAGCCCUCCGUUACUGCCGGCGUUCCAGAGUAGCACGGAGCUCGUGGAACUCCGUGUGAAGCUGGGGGGUCCACCCUCCAAGGCUAAGUACUACUCGACGACCAAUAGUGAAAAGUAAGGUGACUGAACGAUGAAAAGAACCCCUUUUAGGGGAGUUAAAAGUACCUGAAACCAUACACCUACAAGCUGUAGGAGCCCUAUGUCCAGCAUCUACUUUGCUGAGCAAAGUAGAAAUCUGAAAUUCCAAGCACGAAAUACGAAACAAAAUCAAAAUUCUAAUGUCCAAAUGUUCUAAACAAAUGUUUUUGUCAUUUGUGUUUUUUGUCGUUAGAUAUUGUUUCGUGCUUCGGAAUUCGAGAUUUGAAUUUCCCCACUUUGCUUGUCAAAGCAGGUGCUGGAAACGGGUGACUGCGUGCCUUUCGCAUAAUGAGCCGGCGAGUUACCAUUUGUGGCGAGGUUAAGCAUUUAAGGUGCGGAGCCGUAGCGAAAGCGAGUCUGAACAGGGCGUCAUAGUCGCAGGUGGUAGACGCGAAACCAGGUGAUCUACCCAUGGCCAGGUGGAAGGGGAUGUAAAAAUCCCUGGACGACCGAACCCACUAACGUUGAAAAGUUAGGGGAUGAGCUGUGGGGAGGAGUAAAAGUCUAACCAAACCUGGAGAUAUCUCGUUCUCUUCGAAAUAGCUUUAGGGCUAGCCUCGAGUAAAUUACUUUGCGGGGGUAGAGCUACUGAUUGGAGAUGGGGGGCCACCAGCCUACCCACUCCUACCAAACUCCGAAUACCGUAAAGUGUACCUCGGGAGUCAGACUGUGGGCGAUAACGUUCAUGGUCAAGAGGGAAACAACCCAGACCGCCGGCUAAGGUCCCAAAUUCUUGCUAAGUUACUAAGGAAGUCUGAUUGCCGUGACAAUCAGGAUGUUGGCUUAGAAGCAGCCACCAUUUAAAAAGUGCGUAAUAGCUUACUGAUCGAGCAGUUGGGUGCCGAUAAUGAACGGGAAUAAGCAAGAAACCGAAGCCGCGGUGCUACACUUACUUUGACAAUGUGCAGUCUGGUCAUAUGUAUUGCGUCAUGCAUCGUACGCCGUACGUAAUGCAUCAUUUGAAAUACGCGAUACGCAUCACACAUCGUGACUGUAUUUUGUCAAAGUAAGUGCAGCAGGUAGGAGAGCGUAACUGUCAGCACUGAAGCGGUACGGAAACGAGCCGUGGAGCGGCAGUUAGUGAUUAUGCCGGCAUGAGUAACGAUAAAGCAGGUGAGAAUCCUGCUCGCCGAAAGCCUAAGGUUUCCUGGGGAAGGUAAAUCCGCCCAGGGUUAGUCGGCCCCUUAGUCGAGGCUGAAAGGCGUAGACGAUGGACAGCAGGUUAAUAUUCCUGCACCAUGUAUCGAAGGUUAUAACUGUGGGAGUGACGUAACGACAAGGGCUGGAAGCUGAUUAGUCGUGGCUAUCGUGCCUGCGGCGUGGCCGGCAGGUAAAUCCGCCGGCGUAAUCGCCAAUGGACCGCGAGGGGCGAUUUGUGAUCCCCGAGCAGUCGGAGUCGUUACCGAGAAAAACUUCAAACAGGACGACGAUGCAUGACCGUACUAAAACUGACACAGGUAGGCGAGGAGAAUAUCCUCAGGCGCUCGAGAGAACCGUCCUUAAGGAACUCGGCAAAUUGACCCCGUAAGUUCGCGAUAAGGGGUCCCUCCAGGCGCAAACGAUUAUUCGAAUGCGUGCUGAGGGCGCAGUGAAGUGGCUCUGGCGACUGUUUACCAAAAACACAGUUCUCUGCUAACACUUAAAGUGGAUGUAUAGAGAAUGACGCCUGCUCGGUGCCGGAAGGUUAAGAGGAUGGGUUAGCCCCUUCGGGGGUGAAGCUCCUAAUUGAAGCCCCGGUAAACGGCGGCCGUAACUAUGACGGUCCUAAGGUAGCGAAGUUCCUUGUCGGGUAAGUUCCGACGUGCAUGAACGGCGUAACGACUGGAGCACUGUCUCAAGGACGGACUCG